RNAcentral lists this ribosomal RNA (472 nucleotides) under uncultured bacterium. RNAcentral's name for it is "bacterial SSU rRNA". It matches the Rfam family "Bacterial small subunit ribosomal RNA", at positions 355 to 825 of the family's 1533-position model. The record is from RNAcentral.
UGGGGAAUUUUGGACAAUGGGCGCAAGCCUGAUCCAGCCAUGCCGCGUGAGGGAAGAAGGCCUUCGGGUUGUAAACCUCUUUCGGGCGGGACGAAACGGGGCGCACGAAUAGUGCGUCUUACUGACGGUACCGCAAGAAGAAGCACCGGCUAACUACGUGCCAGCAGCCGCGGUAAUACGUAGGGUGCGAGCGUUAAUCGGAAUUACUGGGCGUAAAGCGUGCGCAGGUGGCUGUGCAAGCCAGGCGUGAAAUCCCCGGGCUCAACCUGGGAAUGGCGCUUGGGACUGCACGGCUAGAGUGCGGCAGAGGGCGCUGGAAUUCCUGGUGUAGCAGUGAAAUGCGUAGAGAUCAGGAGGAACACCGAUGGCGAAGGCGGGUCUCUGGGCAGUAACUGACGCUGAGGAACGAAAGCGUGGGUAGCGAACAGGAUUAGAUACCCUUGUAGUCCCUGAGCGGGCUGGCAAGGCGCAU